AAGCUAGUGGAGGUGAUGGAAUUCCAGUUGAGCUACUUCAAAUCCUAAAAGAUGAUGCUGUGAAAAUGUUGCCCUCAAUAUGCCAGCACAUUUGGAAAACUCAGCAUGGCCACAGGACUGGAAAAGGUCAGUUUUCAUUCCAAUCCCCAAGAAAGGCAAUGCCAAAGAAUGCUCAAACUACUGCACAGUUGCACUCAUCUCACACGCUAGCAAAGUAAUGCUCAAAAUUCUCCAAGGUAGGCUUCAACAGUACGUGAACCGUGAACUUCCAGAUGUUCAAGCUGGAUUUAGAAAAGACAGAGGAACCAGAGAUCAAAUUGCCAACAUCUGAUGGAUCAUUGAAAAAGCAAGAGAGUUCCAGGAAAAAACAUUUACUUCUGCUUCAUUGACUAUGCGAAAGCCUUUGACUGUGUGGAUCACCACAAACUGUGGAAAAUUCUUCAAGAGAUGGGGAUACCAGACCACCUGACCUGCCUCCUGAGAAAUCUGUAUGCAGGUCAAAAAGCAACAGUUAGAACCAGACAUGGAACAGACUGGUUCCAAAUUG
This is a long non-coding RNA of Bos taurus (domestic cattle), 547 nucleotides long. The record is from Ensembl. Lineage: Eukaryota; Metazoa; Chordata; Mammalia; Artiodactyla; Bovidae.